UGCACCGUUUCAAACAUGAAAUGAAUGUAACUGCUUAUAUAUAGACCAUUAUUAGUCUAAUAAAAUAUGCUUCUAGGACAAUCCAUCAGUGCUUUUUUCUUUUGAGAGCCUUAUUUACAUGCCAAUUGUAGGAUAUGAAUCUUGUAUAAAUGACCAAGACCGACUAAGGCUAAUUUGAGGGGUGGUCGGAGGGGUCCUGAUCCCGAAAUCCCGGGCUUAAAACCAUGAAAUCCCGAGAUGCAGAAUUUAAAGAAAUUCAUAUCCCGAAAUCCGGAAAUCGAAAAAUAUAUUCCCGGAUCACGUAAGGAUCAAUCCUAAAAUCAGGAGCUUAAAAACACCCGAUCCCGACGCCCCCA
This 356-nucleotide long non-coding RNA is filed under the name Mytilus galloprovincialis (Mediterranean mussel). Lineage: Eukaryota; Metazoa; Mollusca; Bivalvia; Mytilida; Mytilidae. The record is from RNAcentral.